ACCUUUAAUAUUUCUUUAUUUGCAUUAAAGAAGAGGACUGUUUAAGUCCUAAAGGUA
RNAcentral lists this transfer RNA (57 nucleotides) under Stenostomum leucops. RNAcentral describes it as "tRNA-Ala". Lineage: Eukaryota; Metazoa; Platyhelminthes; Stenostomidae. The record is from RNAcentral.